AGCGGAGGAAAAGAAAAUAACAAUGAUUUCCUUAGUAACGGCGAGUGAACAGGAAAAAGCUCAAAGUUGGAACCUGUUUGGCCUAGCUAAACCGGAUUGUAAACUGUAGAAGUGUUUUCCAGGCAAGCCGGACCGAUAAGUCCUUUGGAACAGGGCAUCAUAGAGGGUGAGAAUCCCGUCUUCGGUCUGAGCAUUUGCCUUUUGCGAUACACUUUCAAAGAGUCAGGUUGUUUGGGAAUGCAGCCUAAAUUGGGUGGUAAAUCUCACCUAAAGCUAAAUAUUGGCGAGAAACCGAUAGCGAACAAGUACCGUGAGGGAAAGAUGAAAAGAACUUUGAAAAGAGAGUUAAACAGUAUGUGAAAUUGUUAAAAGGGAACCGUUUGGAGCCAGACUGGCUUGUCUGUAAUCAGUCUAAGCUUCGGCUUGGAUGCACUUGCAGGCUAUGCCUGCCAACGACAAUUUGGCUUGAGGGAAAAAACUAAGGGAAAUGUGGCCCAUCCGUGGGUGUUAUAGUCCCUUAGAAAAUACCUUGGGCUGGAUUGAGGUACGCAGCGAAUGCUAUUUGGCGAGUUGGCUGGGAAUAUUUUCUGAGGUGCUUUGGUACUGAGGUUGAUAU
This 616-nucleotide ribosomal RNA is filed under the name Rhizopus microsporus var. rhizopodiformis. RNAcentral's name for it is "eukaryotic LSU rRNA". It matches the Rfam family "Eukaryotic large subunit ribosomal RNA", at positions 49 to 632 of the family's 3401-position model. Lineage: Eukaryota; Fungi; Mucoromycota; Mucoromycetes; Mucorales; Rhizopodaceae. The record is from RNAcentral.